AUGUCGUGGGAGCGAAUGACAAGGCCGAAAAGAGCGGGAGGGAUUGGCUUCAGGGAUAUGCACCUUUUCAACCAAGCACUGCUUCUUGCCAAACAGGGGUGGAGAUUAAUUCAAAAUCCAGAUAGCCUCUGCGCGAGGGUCCUAAAGUCGAAAUACUACCCAAACGGAAACCUUCUGGACACAGUUUUUGCUUCAGAUGCAUCCCCGGUUUGGAGAGCCAUUGAAUUUGGGCUCGAGCUCCUAAAGAAAGGCCUCAUCUGGAGGGUAGGAAAUGGAAAGAACAUUCAGAUUCAAAGAGACCAGUGGUUACCAAGACGAGAGGGAUUGAAGACGGCCUCUUUCAUCUGGAGGUCAAGAAUUCGAUGGGUAAAUCAGCUCAUGCACCCGGAUAGGAGAGAAUGGAACGAGGCCUUGAUAAGGCAGCUAUUUUACCCCUUUGAUGCGGAUGAAAUAUGCAAAUUAAACAUCCCGACCUCGGAGGUGGAUGACCGCAUCGCUUGGCACUAUGAAAAGAAUGGAAUUUUUUCGGUGAGGAGUGCUUAUAAGCUUGCUGCGGCAAGUCUUCCCCAAUUGGCCCAGAACCCAUCGAGCUCGUCAAUGGAGCCAAAUGAUAGAAAUAUCUGGGACCUAAUUUGGAAGGCUAAAGUCCCUGCAAAAGUACGGAUAUUCGGUUGGAGAGUGGCCACUAAUACACUAGCCACCAAGGAAAAUAAGUGGAAAAGAACCAUCGACUUGGAGGCUACAGAGGCUAUGUUUUCAUUGCUGUCUGCAGAAAGCUUCCACGCUGCUACAGCGCGGAGGAAGCAGAGGCUCGCGCUGCCCUCGUUGGUUUGCAGUCAAUGGCGGACGUUUAUAAUGGUCAGGUAG
Molecule: ribosomal RNA, 867 nt
Filed under: Triticum aestivum (bread wheat)
Lineage: Eukaryota; Viridiplantae; Streptophyta; Magnoliopsida; Poales; Poaceae
Description: partial small subunit ribosomal RNA
Source: RNAcentral